RNAcentral lists this long non-coding RNA (368 nucleotides) under Nicotiana benthamiana. RNAcentral describes it as "long non-coding RNA (NBEN_LNC026083)". Lineage: Eukaryota; Viridiplantae; Streptophyta; Magnoliopsida; Solanales; Solanaceae. The record is from RNAcentral.
UCGGAUGAGUGUGAGGCGAGCUUUCAGUACUUCAAGACUGCUUUAACCACAACUCAAGUGUUAGUUUUGCCAUUUGCUUCAGAUUCUUAUAUGGUUUAUUGUGAUGCUUCUCGGGUUGGUAUCGAGUGUGUGUUGAUGAGCAGAUUGAGAUAAUAGUAAACGCGGCUGGCGGUGGUUGAUCUUUCUCUCCGGAAUAGUGAAGUACUGUAGCAUGCGUGAAUAGUGAUAUUAUACUGUUCAUCGGCGAUUUCAGCUUUUCAGCCGGAAUCUGAUAGCGAUUAUUGAUAAAUUUGGCUCCACGACAUUCUCCUUCUGGUCGUGAACUUAUUUCCUUUGUUUUUAUCCCAAAAAUAUAGAACAAUCGCAAC